AUAAACGUGGGUGUAAUGUUCUAGAAGUGAACGCAAAUUAAUUUUAUUAACGCAGUGUUACAUCAUGUUGUGGGUAAAUUUUGAGGUUGUAUUGAUAGUCGACGUGUUUUUCAACAAUGCCAACAUUGCAAUGUGAAAAAGGAAAGUUAUAUUCAAUUUUGAUGGGUUAAUAAAGGAUAGCAAAGAAAUGGUUAUCCAACUUGACUCGGUUACCAUGGUGAUUAAGUUCCA
This is a non-coding RNA of Onthophagus taurus, 231 nucleotides long. NCBI's taxonomy places the organism in Eukaryota, Metazoa, Arthropoda, Insecta, Coleoptera, Scarabaeidae. The record is from RefSeq and is a predicted model, not a curated record.